CCCCUAGACGUUCUGGGCUGCACGCGCGCUACAAUAAUACGCACAGCGAGUAUCACCGAGCUCGAAAGGGCAAGGUAAACAAUAGAAAAGGUACUGUAAUGGUUAUAGAUCCUUGUAAUUAUUGAUCUUCAACGAGGAAUUCCUAGUAAGUAUGUGUCAUCAUCACGCACUGAUUACGUCCCUGCCCUUUGUACACACCGCCCGUCGCUCCUACCGAUUGAGUGAGCCGAUGAAACUGCCGGAUGUGGACUAUUCACAGUCUGCAGAAGAUAUUUGAAUCGUAGCGCUUAGAGGAAGGAGAAGUCGUAACA
This 311-nucleotide ribosomal RNA is filed under the name uncultured eukaryote. Its description in RNAcentral is "partial 18S ribosomal RNA". It matches the Rfam family "Eukaryotic small subunit ribosomal RNA", at positions 1470 to 1796 of the family's 1831-position model. The record is from RNAcentral.